AGUGAACGCUGGCGGUAGGCCUAACACAUGCAAGUCGAACGGCAGCACAGUAAGAGCUUGCUCUUACGGGUGGCGAGUGGCGGACGGGUGAGGAAUACAUCGGAAUCUACUUUUUCGUGGGGGAUAACGUAGGGAAACUUACGCUGAUACCGCAUACGACCUACGGGUGAAAGCAGGGGAUCUUCGGACCUUGCGCGAUUGAGUGAGCCGAUGUCGGAUUAGCUAGUUGGCGGGGUAAAGGCCCACCAAGGCGACGAUCCGUCGCUGGUCUGAGAGGAUGAUCAGCCACACUGGAACUGAGACACGGUCCAGACUCCUACGGGAGGCAGCAGUGGGGAAUAUUGGACAAUGGGCGCAAGCCUGAUCCAGCCAUACCGCGUGGGUGAAGAAGGCCUUCGGGUUGUAAAGCCCUUUUGUUGGGAAAGAAAAGCAGCAGGUUAAUACCCCGCUGUUCUGACGGUACCCAAAGAAUAAGCACCGGCUAACUUCGUG
RNAcentral lists this ribosomal RNA (492 nucleotides) under uncultured bacterium. RNAcentral's name for it is "partial 16S ribosomal RNA". It matches the Rfam family "Bacterial small subunit ribosomal RNA", at positions 29 to 507 of the family's 1533-position model. The record is from RNAcentral.